RNAcentral lists this transfer RNA (69 nucleotides) under Sphaerodactylus townsendi. Its description in RNAcentral is "tRNA-Ala". Lineage: Eukaryota; Metazoa; Chordata; Lepidosauria; Squamata; Sphaerodactylidae. The record is from RNAcentral.
GCCAUGGCUCAGUGGUAGAAGAUUUGUUUGGCAUUCAAAAGAUCCCAGUUUCAAUCACUGGCAUCUCCC